This 410-nucleotide ribosomal RNA is filed under the name Falsocamaria spectabilis. Its description in RNAcentral is "partial large subunit ribosomal RNA". It matches the Rfam family "Bacterial large subunit ribosomal RNA", at positions 1903 to 2530 of the family's 2925-position model. Lineage: Eukaryota; Metazoa; Arthropoda; Insecta; Coleoptera; Tenebrionidae. The record is from RNAcentral.
GUCGGGCCUGCUCAUGAUUAUUAAAUUGCCGCAGUAUUUUGACUGUGCAAAGGUAGCAUAAUCAUUAGUUUCUUAAUUGGAAGCUGGAAUGAAAGGUUUGAUGAAAAACUAACUGUCUCUUUUUGAUUUAGUUGAAUUUUACUUUUCAGUAAAAAGGCUUAAAUUUAGUAUAAAGACGAGAAGACCCUAUAGAGUUUUAUGCUUUGGAAUAUUAGGUUUAUUUGUUUUAUAAAUACUUAUUGUUUUUGGUAUUUCGUUGGGGUGAUGAAAAAAUUUAUUGAACUUUUUUUUAUUUUUACAGUUAUUUCUGGAUUUUUGAUCCUUAUGGAUUAAGAGACUAAAUUACCUUAGGGAUAACAGCGUUAUUUUUCCUGAAAGUUCUUAUUGACGGAAAAUUUUGCGACCUCGAU